UGCUGGACUUCCUGACGCUGACAAGGCAAAGAAGAGAAAUAAGCAAGGGCACUUUUUUGAAUGGUAUCCAAACAACGAUGUGAGUGUUCUUUCUGAGAGUGAGCAAAUGGACCAUUAUAAAGUCAAGACCACUUGGUUAUGAAGGGCACCUUUCAUUUAUUGAAUGGGUAGCCACACAGCACUGCGGAAUAUUUCAUAUCGACUUGUGUCAUCACACACCAGAAAUGAGCAGCCUAGCUACAGUAUUAUGCAGAAUGUAAGAAGAAAGAAAGAAAGAAAGAAAGAAAGAAAGAAAGAAAGAAAGAAAGAAAGAAAGAAAGAAAGAAAGAAAGAAAGAAAGAAAGAAAGAAAGAAAGAAAGAAAGAAAGAAAGAAAGAAAGAACANAAGAAAGAAAGAAAGAAAGAAAGAAAGAAAGAAAGAAAGAAAGAAAGAAAGAAAGAAAGAAAGAAAGAAAGAAAGAAAGAAAGAAAGAAAGAAUGAACACAACAUGUAUUUUGGGUACGUCAUGUCUAUGUUCCUAUCUGGGUUUUUUAAGCAUUUGAAUAAAGACUGCUUUUCAAACCUAAAACA
This 571-nucleotide long non-coding RNA is filed under the name Pogona vitticeps (central bearded dragon). RNAcentral describes it as "lncRNA (ENSPVIG00000014033.1)". The record is from RNAcentral. Lineage: Eukaryota; Metazoa; Chordata; Lepidosauria; Squamata; Agamidae.